CUUGAAAUAUGCCUUAAACUACUCAACCACCAUAUUGAAUCAAGCACAUGAUCUAUUUAGCAAUGCUGAAAUCUAAAACUAUUUAACUGAAGUGAUUUGGUAGCCACACAAUGCAUCUUUCACACAUGUAUGAGAUACCAACCAAUAUCAUCCAAUGAAAUAUCUAAAUAGAGUUACCAUGAACAAUACACGAGAAGAUGAACUAACUUAAACACUCGUAUGUGAGAUUCCCUAAACAAAAGACUGUUGACUAUCAUGCAAAUCAGAAAUGCAAAAACAACAAACUAAGAAGAUUCCAAAAUACUAAGCUACUUGAAGAAAAAUCAGACAUAAAAUGAAACUGAGGCUUAAACACUUGAGUGUAAAAUUUCAUUUAACCAUCAGCUCUAAUGUUACAGGUAUCACUAUAUCCACUUCCAUUCCAGGGAUUCGAAAAUGUACCUGGAUAUAGCGAAAACAAACCAAAAAAUGUGCUUGGAGUCAGCUAUUAACAGCAAAGCAGUAGCAGAUUCACAACAAAGAACAAUAUCAUAGAUUCACUCAAACAGCAUCAUAAAACCAAGCCUCACAUUAGCUUAGAAAGCAUAGAAAUUUCCCAAAAUAUACCACUUUGAAACUUUGUCCCCAAAGAAAGAAAAAAGAUCCAGCUCUACUCCAGCUUAGAAAACCAGGAAUUCUCUUGCAAAUCCUUUUAAGCCUUAAAAGAAAAACAGAGAUGCAAUCCGAGCAAAAAGCCUUUUUUAAAAUGCAGAAACCUUUUGAGUCUUUUUUUAGGGUAUGAGUCUCUGAUGUAUUUUUUAAAACUUUUUAGGCAGAAGAUGAUGUUGAAUCUCUUUGUGAGUGAGGGAAAGUUUUUCUUUUAUAGAGUGUACAAAAAAGCAUCAAAAAAGAAAUAUUCUGACCUAAUUUCUAGACUGCAGAAUAGUACAUCUUUUAUACAGCUGUCUGUCCUUUUUCUUAUCCAUUACCAGCAUUUUCAUGCUAAGAAUGGGGACAUCUGCCAUAUUCUAGUACAUUAUGAUAUUUCCUCAUUUAGAACCCCCAAUUUACCCUUCUAAAAUCAUGUUUAUUGCAAUUUUAACCUAUGUUAUGAUUAUUUGACUACCCUUUAAACCCUUCUAGAACCUCCUAGAACCAACUAGGCCAUUCAACCUUGGAUUCCCUAAAUUGAUUUUCCAAUUAACCCCUUAAGUUUCUCAAAAUUACCCUAUCAAACUCCUUCAAUUCCAUACGACAUUCAAAAAUCAGAAACCAAACCAAUUAAGGCUAAACCAAAACCAAACAAACUAAAAUCAAACCAGUUAAGGCUAAAUCAGAUAUAAACCAAACCAAAACAAACUGAAAUCAAACCAAUUAAAGCUAAAUCAGAUAUAGACCAAAAUAGAAUAUUAAACCAAAACAGAAGCAAACCCUUAAUUGAUCUACUAAGUUGAACAUGACUGAUUAACCUAAACGCAUUUAACUACACUUAAUUAAAGCAAUUAACUAAAUAAGCCUAUUUUACUGAAAAUUAAACGAAUCAACAAACAAAACAAACAAGAUUAACACCUAAAAAAAUGAAGAAACAGAAACAAAAAGGAAAGUAUACUGAUUUUGGCGACGAACGAAGCGAGCCAAUGAGCGAUGAUGAAGUUGGGUCGGCCAGUGGUGAAUUGGUCAAAGAUCGAUGACAUUGAAAUGGGUAAGGACUAAUGCAAAAUUAUUGCUCUUAUCAAGAGCAAUCGACUCAAAUGAGUCUCGACCCAAAAUGAAUAGAAAUCCCCAAGCAAAUUGCACAAGGUCGAACUAGGGUUUUUUUCUGGAUGUUUAGAUCUAAAAUUCAUCGAUUUUGGUGGGGUUUCUAAUAUAACUUAAAGGAGAUAUGAGAUGAGGGGGGUGUGGUGGUUGUCCGGUUAGAAGAUGGACGGGUUUGGAGAGGUUUGAGUAAACUAGGGUUCGGUCUUAGAUCUGAAAUUGGAGAGAUUUGAGAGGGAUUCGAGGGAAUUGGUUUGGGGAUUCGGAAAGAAGAGGAGGUGAGGAGUAUCUGGCGUGAAUUUGGAGAGGUUUGGGGCACCAAAACCGCUGUGAGGCGAUUUUUGGUGGGUGGUUGAUGGCGGAGGAGGCGGAGGAAAUUGGGGCGGCUAGGGUUUCCUUAGGUUUGGUUGAAGGAGAUGAACUGAAGGGUUUCGAAUGGGGGGGGUUCUAAUUCAGAC
RNAcentral lists this long non-coding RNA (2192 nucleotides) under Nicotiana tabacum (common tobacco). Its description in RNAcentral is "long non-coding RNA (NTAB_LNC010604)". Lineage: Eukaryota; Viridiplantae; Streptophyta; Magnoliopsida; Solanales; Solanaceae. The record is from RNAcentral.